GACGAACGCUGGCGGCGUGCUUAACACAUGCAAGUCGAACGGAAAGGCACUGCUUUUGUGGGGUGCUCGAGUGGCGAACGGGUGAGUAACACGUGAGUAACCUGCCCUUGACUUUGGGAUAACUUCAGGAAACUGGGGCUACUACCGGAUAGGAGCCCCUGUUCGAGGGUGGGGGUUGGAAAGUUUCGGCGGUUGGGGAUGGACUCGCGGCUUUUCAGCUUGUUGGUGGGGUAGUGGCUUACCAAGGCUUUGACGGGUAGCCGGCCUGGGAGGGUGACCGGCCACAUUGGGACUGAGAUACGGCCCAGACUCCUACGGGAGGCAGCAGUGGGGAAUAUUGCACAAUGGGCGGAAGCCUGAUGCAGCAACGCCGCGUGCGGGAUGACGGCCUUCGGGUUGUAAACCGCUUUCGCCUGUGACGAAGCGUGAGUGACGGUAAUGAGUAAAGAAGCACCGGCUAACUACGUG
This 468-nucleotide ribosomal RNA is filed under the name uncultured bacterium. RNAcentral's name for it is "partial 16S ribosomal RNA". It matches the Rfam family "Bacterial small subunit ribosomal RNA", at positions 28 to 507 of the family's 1533-position model. The record is from RNAcentral.